This 1912-nucleotide long non-coding RNA is filed under the name Ananas comosus (pineapple). RNAcentral describes it as "long non-coding RNA (ACOM_LNC003707)". The record is from RNAcentral. Lineage: Eukaryota; Viridiplantae; Streptophyta; Magnoliopsida; Poales; Bromeliaceae.
AACCAUUUAAUCUUAGUCCCUCACCGCACGAAUAAAACGUGCAUAAACCCCUCCACGUGCGAUUUCACGCGAAACGGUACAUAAAAUGUCGCAACUUUUGCGAAAUUACCGUUUUGCCAUCACCGACCUCUCCUCGAUCAACGCGCGAUCUCCGCAGAUCCGUCCGUCAGAUUUGCGAACGGAUUGCACCAGUGCGAUCAGCACCUCGGAGACAACAAAGCUACACUUACGAUUCAUCUCGAUCGACCACGGAUUCACAACAAAAUCCAACCUUCUUCCAAUAGAAGGAAACACACACACAAAUACAUAUAAAACAUGUAUUUUUGGAUUUUCUCGAAAUCCGUGCGUCAAACUCAAAAUCCAUCAGCGCCACUAGUUCCAGAACAGCUGAACCGGUCGAAACGAGCUAUUGGACUGAUAUGAACGGAGUCCGAUACGCACCAGAAGCCAACUCUACUCCGUGGCUUCUCCGGAAAACCGGAGUUACUGUUCACUUAAGUGAAAACUAAAAAAUCGCGUAUCUUCUCUAUUUUAGCUCAGUUUCUCCUGAAACUUGACGAGUGCCUAUGUAAUUAAAUUACACACAUAAACAUCAUCAACAGAGAGUUUAGUUGCACUGUCAAAAAAACUCAGUCCUUACAUUUAAUUAUUCAAGAUUUCAGUUGGUUUUCUGAAUGAGAUAAAGAUUUCUAGAUUUUUGUAAAAAGGAAAGGUUUUCUACCCCUCGUGGUAGCAUGUUUUAAAAAGAAAAAUUUUCCGUGUGGGAAACAGCUUUCAAAAGAGUUUUCUCGUGAUUUUCUUGAAUUAGAAUUUCAAAAUAAGUUUCUGGGUAGGAAACGUUUCAACUGAUAGUUGUGGAUUUAUAUUCGGAUCUAUGUUUAUGAACCUGUGGUGAAUGGUAUAUGGAUAUUGAAUGUAUGAUGACUUGCAUAUUCAUUUAGUUGUGGUUGUAUGAUAUUUUACAUCUUGUACUUGUGCGACGCCGUGCAAAUACAGGAGAGACUCUGUCCGUGUGAACAGUGGAAUCCCUAUAUUUGUGACGGAUCUGGCAUACCCUGAGAUCAGGUUUUCAAAAGAAAAAAAAAAAUUCUAGUCACUUCCGCUAUAUUUUCAAACUAAAAGGGACCCAGAAUUAAAAUUGAAAGAGGAUGAAAUAAAACAAUUAAACAAGCAAAAAUAAGUUGAGUAUAGCAAUUUCAUAAUGGCCAAAGGGAGUGUUUGGCCUAGCUCCUAAGAAGUGUUUCUGAGUCCAAAAUCACUUUUGAGCUCAGUAGACUGUUUGGAAACGACAGAUGGAAAAUUUAAUUUUGUUUUUUAGAAUCAGAAAACUGAUUUUGAAGGAUCCAGAAUUAGAAGUAGAGAAAAACUACUUCUCCAAAACUGAUUCAAAUUUUGGACUCAAACUUUAAAUUUUUAUUUUUAUUUUAGAUUUAAAGUAUAAAUUUAACAUUAAAUUUAAAUUUUAAAAUUUUAAAUUCAUAUUUCAAUUUUCAAAUCUCAACUUUUCAAAUUAAAAAUUAAAAAUUUAGAUUUUAAAUUUUAAAUUGAAGUUUCAAAUAUCAAAUUUUAAAUUUUAAAAUUCAAAAUUUUAAAUUUUAAAUUUAAGAUAAAAUUUACAUUUUGACAUUUCAGAUUUUAAAACUUAAAUUUUAAAAUUUUAAAAUUUAAAACUUAAAAUUACAAUUUUUAAUUUUCAAAUUAGAAAAUUCAAAUUUUAAAUUUUAAUUUUAAAUUUCAAAUUUUAAAAUUUUAAAUUUUAAAUUUUGAAAUUUAAAAUUUUAUUUUAGUUUUAAAUUUCAAAUUUCAAAUUUUAAAUUUUAAAUUUCAAAUUUAAAUUUUAAAUUUUAAAUUUCAAAUUUUAAAAUUCAAAAUUCAAAUUGCAAAUUUCAAAAUUUAAAUUUCAAAUUUCAAA